Molecule: long non-coding RNA, 8628 nt
Filed under: Gallus gallus (chicken)
Lineage: Eukaryota; Metazoa; Chordata; Aves; Galliformes; Phasianidae
Description: lncRNA (ENSGALG00010020042.1)
Source: RNAcentral
GGAAAGGGAAAGGAAAAGGAAAAGGAAAAGGAAAAGGAAAAGGAAAAGGAAAAGGAAAAGGAAAAGGAAAAGGAAAAGGAAAAAAAAGAAAAAGAGAAAGAAAAAGAGCCUGUUAAAUCAAAACUCAUUCCCUUGGUCUUUCUAGUAAUGUACACUGUGUAAUAAUUCAGUGUAUGAAACAUUCAGCGCCCUCAAUGCUAGCAAUAUUCUUGAAAGGAAGAAAGGAGUUUGUUUUGACUGUACUAUAUCAGAUGUCCUUCCUAAGACUUUGUCUCUUUCUUUAUCUGUCUUUUUUCCCCCAUUGCCACUGCUCUAUUUGCUCUGGCCAACAACCACACAUGUAGCCCUGGUCUGAGUUAGGGUUCCAGUACAUUGGCUCACCUCUGCCUUCUUAGUCCAGCUCCUACCACGUGCCAGGUAGUACUACAAUCUGCUUUGAAACUCACAUACUUCAGUGUUUCCAUUCCACUGCAAAUUGAGGGUGUUAUUUGAUUCUGCAAAAACAAAUAUUACAAAGGUGUUGCCUCUUGAAGUUUUGGAACUUCUGUCACCAAUGCACAAGGGUCUGUAAUUACAGCAAUGUACCCCUCCAUCCUCCACAGCUGCCUCCAGUAGUGUUCCCCCUCAUUAGAAAUCUAUCCUAUAAUUUCGGAUUAGAACUGGAACAUAAGGUAGUAAUUGGCCCUUUCUGUUCUAGUCUUUGCAGAUUUUACAUUGUCAAGAUGAGGCAUUUGUUGUUCUUAAACCUUUCCACCCCUUGGCAAUAGGUCUUGAACUUCAUUUUGCUUUGCUUCGCCUACAUUGGCAGUUGCCCUGGUUCUGUUGCUGUGAGAGCUGGCUGCAGACAGCUUUUCUUCAGGAAGAGCAAGCCUCAAUUCUCUUGGUAAUAGUACAGCCACUGAUUUAUUUAUUUUUUCUCACCACUUGACGUUCAGCUUUUUGCUACACUGGUGACCUGCGUCACUUUCCCAUUGCUACUCUGGCUGUGAAAAUCAUAGAAGAAAGUGAUGUGAAAUUAUAGGCUUUGUCAGUGCCCUGUUUUAAAUAUCUUCUUUCUGGAAAAAGGAACAAGGUAUGUAUCUCAUUAUUCAUUAUUUUUAAAAUGACAAAUCCUUUAAAAUUGUGUUUGUUCCCUGUAUAGGAGAGAAAUAUGAGAGACUUUCUCGAGCUCAGAAUAUGUUAUUGCUGCCUUAGUGCUGGUCAGGUCACACCUGGAGUGCUGGGUCCGUUUCUGGGCCCUCCAGUAUAAAAAAAGAUACAGACAUACUGGAAAGAGUUCAACGUAGGGCCACGAAGAUGAUGAAGAGGCUGGAGCAUCUCUCCUAUGAGGAAAGGCUGAGAGAUCUGGGCCUGUUCAGCCCGGAGAAGAAGCAGUUCAAGGGGUCUCAUUCACACCUAUGUAUAGCUGAAGGGAGGGUGCCAAAAGGAUGGGGCCAGGCUCUUUCCAGUGGUGCCCAAUGCCAGGACAAGAGGCAAUGGACACAAACUGGCAUACAGGGGGUUUCCCCUGAGCGUCAGCAAAUAUUUUUUCAGUGCACAGGUGCUGGACUGCUUGCAUGGGCUGCCCAGAGGCUAUGGAGUCUCCUCCUUGAAGAUCUUCAAAAGCUGCCUGGAUGUGGGCCUGGGUGCCCUGCUGUGUAUGGCCCUGCUUGUGCAGGAAUUGGAGCAGAUGGACCCAGAGGUCCCUGCCCACAUCAGCCAUUCUGAGUUUGCAUGAUUCUUUCUGAAAGUCAUAGUAAUAGGUGCUGAGCUGUAUUUGCUAGUAUGACAUAGCAACAUAUAGGUAAUGUAAAUUUGUGAGCGAGCUCCUUUUAGUUAUAUAUUUAUUUUGAUUUCAAUUGGCAAAAUACAAAAAAGCAUUUCUUAUUCUGGCCUCCAAACUCAUUUAACAGUAGAUUAAGGAAGCAGACCAACCCCCUAAAAGCUUUAGCAAACCAUGAGCUUUUUCCCAUAUGCCAGGAUGCAUCACCAGAUUUUUUCAAGAGAAGAAAAUGGACAAAAAGGCCUCUGCAUGAGUGGGCUGGGGGCAGAGGUCUGUAUAUAUGUACAUGGAGCUGCAGCACUUAAACUGUUUCCUCCUCUGAUCUUUCUGCCUCUUGCCUCAGUGUCUGCAUGGCUGAGGUGUGUACACGCGUGCACAUGUGUGUAUACAUGUAUGUGUUGCUCCAGAUAUAUGUGCACUGGGCUUGACUGACUACACACUGUGUUGGCUGUUCCUGAUGUUUCCUGUUUCAGCUUUCCCACCCCUUGAACCACCAACACUGAUUCCCUUCUGCUUUAUUGCUGCCAAUACACCAUACAAUGCCAAAGAUACGUUUUUAAGUAAGUUCCACAGGCAACGCCAUCUUUCUUUCUAAUUACCCCCAGUUAGUGGGGAUAAACAUUUCCUCAGAGGGUACAAUGUUAAACCACAUUCCAGUAUUCAUCCUGACUUUCUGGUAAGGCUAAGCUUUAAAAAAAUGAUCUUCUUCCCAGUGGGAAGCAGAAAAUUCUGUCCUCAAAAGCACUUCUGAAAAUCAAGCCUUUUCUUCUGGAGGAAAGUGUGCAGCUUGCAGUUGCCGACUCUCUUCAUGUGUUCCCAUGAGUGGAGAUGGCCCUAAUCUGACUUUUCCUUUCUCAUCAUACUCGGUGCAUUUGCUUCCUUUAUGGGCUGUGUUUGUUUAGUUUCUUGCUGUUUGCCGUAUUAACUUCUUUAUUUCUUUUUCGUCAGGAGUUUGAUGCAUAUUUUAAUGUAGAGUCUUGAUUCUGUACCCUGCUCUCCUCUGUUCAGAUGUUACUCAAUUAAAGAAUCACAUUUAAAUACAAAAGAAUCAUACUCACUGCAUUGUACAAUCACUUCAUUUUUGGAGUAAGAAAGAAUAUGAAAAAUCCAGAGUUAGUAAUGCCCUCCUUUCACAAGAAUCCAAAUCUUAGCAUGCUUUAAGGCCACUGUGCAAUAUGAUCCUCUUAUCUCUGGUAAAAGUCUGAGGUUUAUCACCAGCUUUUGACACAGAUGAACUCAAGAUAUUGCUGCUUUUCCACAGAAGCUCUCUGGGAUCAGUGGGGUCAUUCUGAAGAUGAAAACUAUCUGCACUCCCUGCAGAAAUACCUGAAAGGGCCGUAAUGGUUAUCUGCCUUGCUUCACAUCCCCUCAUGGAAAGCUGGUUGUCAGUAUUUGUGCCAGUGGUAUUUCAUUUUCUGAGACACCUCAGAUUUUAAAAUAAACAGUUCUGUGUAUCUCAUAAUUGGUACUGAACAGCACACUCACCAGGCUAUAGCCCAGCCUGGGAAUGGUGAAUGUCAGAAGGAGAGAAAAAAUAACUCAAAGUAAGUUUGAAAAAAAGAUGAGUAGCACUGACAGAUGGUACAGCCCUUUUAGGAAAUCACGACUUUCCCAUCCUUCUACCAGUUGCUAAAUAGAGACUACAGAUGAGAGAAUUAUCAAGAAUUUCAGCAGUCAGGUAGUACUUAAUGCUGAUGGUCUUAGGCACCCUUGAAGCCAUCUGACACAACUUCCAUCUUAUCCAACCUGCUUCUUGGAUGGUGGAAUUCAUCUCUGCAGUUCUUUAUUUCUAAAUGGGAAGAGAGGGAUACCCUACUUUUUAGACUGAUCAGAAGGCUGCUCAGAUGCAUUACCAAGUCCACUGUGCAGUUGUGCAAAGGCAAAUGGGAACGUGUCAGAAUACAUUUCUCUGCAGACAAGUGAUUCCACAUGCAGUAGCUGCUCUCACCCAGAACAGUGAUCUUCCUCUUUGCCACUUUCCAUGGGACAGGGUUCAUCCCCAUUAAUGACUGAAUAUCCUUCCCAAGCACUCCAGGGAUAGUUGCCAAGAGACGGUGAUGUAACGCUCACAACAGAAAUGAAACUCAGAUGAGUUGAGGGGAAUGUGUAUGAAGAGCAUGCAUUUGCUACAGAAAUUCAUCUGGCAAAGAAAUAGGAAAAAAAAAAAAAAAAAAAAGCAGAUCACUGCUUGCUUUGAAAAAAACAUUGCAAAAUGCAUAUUGUUUACUUCAGCCUUCCUUCAGCAGAAGCAGUGACAUAUUGUCUGCAAAAUUACCACCCGCAUCCCCUACUUUAACUGUAUUGUAUCCAAUAAUUCCUCUAAAGAGAAAAGCUGUAGAUACCUUCCAGAGAUACAGUCCUCAGAGCUGGACAAAGACAUGUUUACAGCAGGCUCCUCUCAGUGACACAUAGAAUGCUACGAAGGGGCAAUAAGGUGGCCAUGUUCCCUCCACUCUCUCAUCUGAGAUAUAACUGGCCCUUGUUUCAGCAAAAGGACAGAGAAAAAGUUGCCCUUUAUUUGGUAGCCAUACACAACAGAGACAGUUACGAUGGGAAGGGAUAGAACUUAGUGAUGAGCUUACUGGAGAACUCCCUUACUUAAGAAUUGAGAGCUGUCAGCAGAGGUGUUUGCAUGUGUGGGAUGGAGUCCCUCAUCAUCACGGAGAGGGAUGCAGUUACAUGCUACAAACUAAUAAUUCACAAAGGGCCUUCUGAGAGGCUAAAAAGUACCAGGCUUCUACAUUUCUGUAGUGAAGAGCACUAAAGAGAGCCCAAUACACCUCUUGGUGUUACUGGAAGAAACCAUUUUGCUGUAGUAUAAGCAAAGUUUAGGUGAUUGGCAGCCAAACAUGCUGCAGAUUAACUGCACGUGAUUAUGACACGUGAGAUGGAAAGCACAGAAAAAAAACGAAGACUGGGAGAGCUGGCAAGGAGGACAGGGCCAGUGAUGGCAGCUGGAGAAUAUCCAUAAAUUUUAUGGCUACAAAGCAAGAUAAUGCAAAGCAAAGGCUGUAAAAGUGACUAAUAUGAAUGAAGGCCACUACAGAGAAGGAGCAGGGUUGGCUGAAUGCAGCAGCCAAUGAAGACGUGCUUUUGGGCUGAAGUACAGGCUUGCUCCCCAGAUCUUCUUCAGGACGCAUUGUGUCUCCUACUCCCUAUAACAAAAGCUUUCCCAUCUAACAUUCCUCUUUCAUUUUUUUUUUGGUUUGACUCUGACUGUAACGACCUCAUUUUCAGCUGGCACUAUAUAGUUUUUGCUGUGUGGUCUGUAACUUUCUCAGCCAGGCUGUAAGCUCCAUGGUAUGCUUGCUACCCCAGCUGAAUUUCUAUGCCUGGCCUUCUAUACUGUGCUGUGCAAACCGUGAUAGUAGUGAAGUAUGAAGCCUGGUAUGAAGACACAGUAUCAAAAGCACACCAUGGGUGUUGUAUGUAUGUAUAAUAACCUACACAGCUGUAAAAAUGAGUCGUAUGUGUACAUUACAAAAGGGUGGGAUUUACAACUUGUACAUGCAGAACUAUUCUUGCAAAAGAGUUGAAAUAGUAGCAGAGCAGUUGCCUAGGCAAAAAGCAGUGAUAAAAGAAAGUUCAUUUUAAUUUGGAGAGGACUUCCUGUGCAAGAAGAGCACUAUGUUAUGUUCAUGCAGAAGUGAGCGGUGCCACCACAAGACUAAAAUGACCCAUAUGCACUUGAGAUCUCAUCAAAUUCAGAUGCAGUCAAGAAAUUUAAGCAUCAAAAAACACUUUUUUUUUUUCCCCCUAAAACAUUUGUAGCUCACAGAAAGCCUCCCCACUUGGUGAGAAGCCAUGAUGUAUUUCUAAAGCAUGAAAUAUCUCAGGCAGAGCUGUCACCAGUGAAAAACAAUUUGGACUCAAGUGAAAGAAGUGGUAAAAAAAAGUGUAAUAGGAAGCCAUUAUAGGCACUGGGGGAGGAUGAGAAAGCAGAACAGGAAAUGUUUGUGCAGAUAAAGGAAGCCUGCAAAGCAACUACAACAGGGAUCAUAGGAAUUUCAAUCUGCCUGUCACUGUGUGGAAUUGUAAUUAGGAAAUCUCAAAUGUGUGCGAAAAACUGAGGACUUAGCAUAGCCCCGAAUCACAUUUAGACAGUUAUUGGGUGUGCAGCUAGAGAUAUAGCUCAGAAAGCUCACAGCCUGGAGGUCCUUGCUUCUCCCUCAGCUCCAAACGAGUGCAGGUCGGAAAGCUUCAGUUCAUUGACCUUCUGGGUUAUACCACCGCCUGUUUUCUCAGGCCUGCUGCAGAUGGCUGGGGGCUGACAUGUUCACAGAGGAUGUCAUUCAUUUAGCUUGUGGAGAUUGAUUCUUGUCAUGUUUGUGGAGUGAAUGAACUAUAAAUUGUUGAGAAGAUGACUUUGUAAACUACAGGAUGGUCAAGUCUUUAUUCUUCUGGAAGGUGUUGUGAUUAGGGGUUUUUAUCACUUGAGUUAUUCUUAAACAAUGAUGGAAUAUAUGAUAAGCAAUAACUACCAUUUUUGGAAACUACAAUAUUCAUUAAAAAAGUGUAGUUCCUUUUCCAGUAAAAAAAAAAAAUAAUUAGAUACAAAGUAUUCUGCUGCCACCAACACCAUCUUGGCUUUUGUGAGGUGCAAAUUCUCCUCUGUAAAAGCGCAUUAAUGGAUGAGAAGCUUUGGAAAAACUUAUUUCUUGCAGUUAUAAGAAACUAUUGCUAAGUGAAAAUUACUGGAUGUUACUCAGGUGAUGUUAAAGCUUCAGUCUGGCACCUCUGGUUUUCUGUCUGUCCCCAACUUCUGCUUGCCUUCUGCUCAGGCUCUGUGUGUCCUCUGCACUGCUGCAGAUCUUUCAUUUUCCACCUGUUCGUUCCAUUGACCACUCAAUGCCCUUGAUGCAUACCUCGUCCAAAAAAAGCACGUUCUGCCAUGAGGUCACAAUAAAUCAAGUGGAAGUCCCCUCUGAUGCUGGUCUUGAACAGACUGGAAGAACACCAGCCCAUACUAAGAGGACUGCUGCCAGGAAAUACAAAGUGUUGCAAGAGUAACCACCAAAUAUUUAUGGGCAGCGGUUCAAAGCAUGUUCUUCUGAGAAGCUGAAGCUGUAAAAUUCACAGUGCUAGGCUUCAUUUUUGCAAAGAUGCAUCUGAACAAGCAUCCGGUAUGUUCUGAUUCAUAGCAUGGGCCUGCUAGUGGAUAAUUCUGCACAACAGUAAUCACUUCAAGAUUUGUCCUGACCGUAUUCAAGAUUCCUGCUAUCAUGCAGAUUGUUCUCCGACAUCUGCUAAUAUGGAUAACACACUUUAUUUGUAGUGUUUUACCUUUCCUGGUCUUCAUUUGCCCUGGUGAAAGAUGAUCUAGCCGAAUAUUUCUCAAGACAUAACUGUUGUGUCUGAUGUCGGGCUUGUUUGUGUAACAGGGAUUGCACUUGAGAGCUUUGCAGGAAUGAGAACAAGCACUGAUUUCACAACGAGGCUGAGAUUCACAAAGGUUUCAGUGAAACAGUGGGAGAAGAGUGCAGAUAGUAAAUUCCACUUCCCUCUGAUGCAUGUAUACGCUGGUUUCCAAAAGCUCUGCAGACAGGUUUUCAAGAACUAAUUGGAGAAUCAAACUUUUUCCUUGGAAACUCUCAUUAGCAGCCUGCAGAAAUGCCUGCUUUAUUUUAAUGAGCCUUUGUAGUAGUUUCACACAACUGUUUUCAUAAUCUAAAAGCUCUUCUUUAAAUAGCUGUGACAAUCAAGCCAAUUAUGCUCCCAUGGACCAAUUUUUAGUUAUCUUUGGUUUGCUUCCACUAGAAACAUAUUUGUGUCCCUUUGCUGUCAUCUGAAAUGUUUUUUUGGAAUUCAGUACUAUUUAUCUCACUAAUUACCCUUUAACUUGCUUUGCUUAUUUUUACAAAUUUCCUUGUUUUCCCCCUACUAGAUUAUUUAUUUUUUUAAGGUUUACUCCUUAUUGUUCUACUGACCUGCGAGGCUCUGAGGCUUUGGGAUAUUUUUCCUAUUUAAAAUUCAAAAGGAAACAUUUCAAUUUCCUUUUUUCUUCUUCUUCUUUUUUUUUUUCCCCAAAUAUUUUCUGCCAGCAGUUCCCUUUGAUACGAUUGCUUAAUUUGGUUUCCCCAACUCAUAGAAAUUUAUGUUAAAGUGGGAGUAGAAGAGAUUCUUUUGGCAGCCUGCCUGCUGAACUCUAGAAAUGCCACUUCACAUAGUCCACGCUUUGGAUGGUUGAGUGAGUUCCAGGGAAUAGAGCUGGGAAGACAACCCUGCCGACUGAAGCCUUUUAAUCCGAGGAGAGGGGAAGCCAACCUCCAGAGCGCUUGAUCCUAAUCAUCAUGUCUGCUUUAUUUUGACUGCUUCCUCUUGGCAAAGUAGUUCAUUCUCUUUGCCACUUAAUUUGUUGAUCACUGUGAUAACUCUGCCAGCAGGCACUAAUGGUGCCACUGGAUUUGGUGACACUGACACCCGUAUGCAAAUAAACAGAGAGGAUAAUGCCACGCAGACAACUACGUAGUUAUCAGGUAUUAAUGACUUUAGAGUGGUGCUUACCUGGAUCUCCUUUGAGACAGGAAUCUGACAGAGAAAGCAUGACCCUGUUGUUACUCCGUGGUCAUAUCCCAAACAAGAUGAUCCUCAUUAUACAGCUGAGAAGUCCUGAAAGCAUUUCAGUCUUUCCUAAUGGGAAAACAAACUGCAGGUUAACACUCGAUCUUUGUAUGGAAAAUGUUAAAAUUCACAGCAGAUUUCCAGACGUCUGCUUCCCAACUGUUUUUAAAAUCUAGGUCAUUAUAUAUAGGUGGCAUCAGAUAAGUCUCCAUAGAAGUUUCAGAAUGUUUUAAACAGAAAAACGAGUCAGAUCACUGUGAGGCUGGUAACUGUCUAACACAAGUUUUUCAUGCGUACAGUCCAAG